AACGCGAAGAACCUUACCAGCCCUUGACAUGUCUAGGACCGGUCGCAGAGACGCGACCUUCUCUUCGGAGCCUAGAGCACAGGUGCUGCAUGGCUGUCGUCAGCUCGUGUCGUGAGAUGUUGGGUUAAGUCCCGAAACGAGCGCAACCCCCGUCCUUAGUUGCUACCAUUUAGUUGAGCACUCUAGGGAGACUGCCGGUGAUAAGCCGCGAGGAAGGUGGGGAUGACGUCAAGUCCUCAUGGCCCUUACGGGCUGGGCUACACACGUGCUACAAUGGCGGUGACAAUGGGAUGCUAAGGGGCGACCCCUCGCAAAUCUCAAAAAGCCGUCUCAGUUCGGAUUGGGCUCUGCAACUCGAGCCCAUGAAGUUGGAAUCGCUAGUAAUCGUGGAUCAGCAUGCCACGGUGAAUACGUUCCCGGGCCUUGUACACACCGUAGUAC
RNAcentral lists this ribosomal RNA (441 nucleotides) under uncultured bacterium. RNAcentral's name for it is "bacterial SSU rRNA". It matches the Rfam family "Bacterial small subunit ribosomal RNA", at positions 958 to 1398 of the family's 1533-position model. The record is from RNAcentral.